This is a non-coding RNA of Pelobates cultripes (western spadefoot toad), 248 nucleotides long. The record is from the annotation of a GenBank genome assembly. NCBI's taxonomy places the organism in Eukaryota, Metazoa, Chordata, Amphibia, Anura, Pelobatidae.
UAGGGACGGGGUACUCAGGGUGGAGAAGGGCUGAGAGGGGGAGGAGGAUGGAACUUCGACAGUCGGGGCGGGAGUAGUUGGGGCAGAACUCGGGGUGCAGACAGGCACUGAGGGAGGUAACGGAGGGCAAGGAGGUGGGGGAGCUCCAACGGACAUGACAGGAGGAUGGUUGGAGGAGGGGACCUGGUCACAGGAGGGCUGAUGCAUAGGAGUGGGUGGGAACGAGUGUUGUGGUAUUGGGAAAUAAU